Molecule: small nuclear RNA, 194 nt
Organism: Physella acuta
Lineage: Eukaryota; Metazoa; Mollusca; Gastropoda; Physidae
Product: U2 spliceosomal RNA
Source: RefSeq, a predicted model, not a curated record
AUCGCUUCUCGGCCUUUUGGCUAAGAUCAAAGUGUAGUAUCUGUUAUGGAUCUACAUAAAUCUUGGUCAUUUGGUCGGCUAGCCCAGGGGUCGGCAACCUUUUGAAGCGGAAGAACCAAAAGUUACGAUUUUCAAAAUUUCCCUGGUUUUAAAGAGCCACUAAAUUUUUUUUAAUUUCAAAUAUUUUAUUUUUU